RNAcentral lists this long non-coding RNA (4399 nucleotides) under Sus scrofa (pig). Its description in RNAcentral is "lncRNA (ENSSSCG00035041218.1)". Lineage: Eukaryota; Metazoa; Chordata; Mammalia; Artiodactyla; Suidae. The record is from RNAcentral.
AAAGUGGCCAGAUUUAGUUUCUAUUGCUUACAACCAAAAACCUCCAAGUUGAUUAGUUAUUACUUUGAGUCUAGAAGACUAUAUUUUCUCAAAAGUUUGGGAGAUAAAACUUCAUUUGAUUGGCAAGUACUUUAGACCAUUAACUUUAAAGAUAUGCAACAUGGAGUAAAAUAAAAAAUUCAUUUAGAAUGUUAAGAUACUGGAUGUGUGUGUGUGUGUGUGUAGAUUUUUAAAGAUCUGCUUUCUCCCACUUCACACUCUCUCUCCCUGCCCCAUGCAAGUUUCUUUAGCAAUGGGUUUAAGAUGCACUAGCAAAAAGAGUAACUUUCUUUAACUUUUAGGAUCUGAUUUCAAGCCAGGCAAGACUUACAGAGAAGUGCACCUGCCCUCAUCGGGAGCAAAUAAAUAAUCAAUUUCAAGCAAUAAAGUAUUGGGAGUGGGUUGUUAUUAUCAUCAAUAGAUAACUGACAGAUGUGCUUCAUGAAUUAUCACAAUAUUUCUACAUUCUUCUUUUAUAUAUAUAUACAUACAUACAUAUAUAUAUAUAUAUAUAUAGCUUUUCAGGGCCACACCCACAGCAUAUGGAAAUCCCUAAGCUAAGGAUCGAAUCAGAGCUGUAGCUGCUGGCCUAUACCACAGCCACAGCCACAGCCACAGCCACAGCCACAGCCACAGCCACACCAGAUCUGAGCCAAGUCUGCAACCUACACCACAGCUCACAGCAACACCGGAUCCUUAACCCACUGAGCAAGGCCAGGGAUUAAACCCAAAACCUCAUGGAUCCUAGUCAGUUUCAUUACCAUUGAGCCAUGACGAGAACUCCUCUACAUUCUUUUAUUCUACUCAUUUCUGAAAAUUUCCUAUGAACAAAUUUAAUACUCCAACGUUUCCAAAUAACUCUGUCACAGUCAGAUGUGGUUACACUUAUUCUUCACUGCCAAGUCAAUGUUCUAAUUCCACAGAAACAAUGAAAUGUAGCUCGGUCAGAACACAGAGGUUUUAAGCAGGGAGUAGAACAUACUCCAAAGUCAAAAUAGCUUAAAGUUGAGUUGAUAUUGAAAGAAACUCGGAGUUCCCGUUGUGGCGCAGUGGUUAACGAAUCCGACUAGGGACCAUGAGGUUAAGGGUUCGAUCCCUGGCCUCGCUCAGUGGGUUGGGAAUCCAACGUUGCCGCGGGCUGUGGUGUAGGUCGCAGACUCAGCUCAGAACCCGCAUUGCUCUGGCUGUGGUGUAGGCUGGCGGCAACAGCUCCGAUUCGACCCCUAGUCUGGGAACCUCCAUAUGCCAGGAGAGCAACCCUAGAAAAAAGCAAAAAAAAAAAAAAAAAAAAAAGGAAAGAAACUGGCUAAUGGAGUUCCUGUGUUGGCUCAGCGGAAACGAAUCUGACUAGUAUCGAUGAGGAUGCAGGUUCAAUCCCGGGCCUCGCUCAGUGGGUUAAGGAUCUGGUGUUGCCAUGAGCUGUGAUGUAGGUCAAAGAUGUGGCUCACACCUGGCAUGGUUGUGGCAUAGGCCAGGGACUACAGCUCCAAUUCAACCCCUAGCCUGGGAAACUUCAUAUGCCAUGGGUGCAGCCCUAAAAAAAUAAAAAGAAAGAAAGGAACUGGCUAAGUAAACGAAAAUGAAGCAGAUUUGCUAUGAUUCAUUUAAAAUCUAGAGAACUCAAAACAGAUUCUCUCUUUUGGGGGGGGGGAGUGGUAAGCACCGGAGGCAUAUGGAGGUUCCCAGGCUAGGGGAGCUGUAGCUGCCAGCUUAUGCCAGAGCAAAGCAACACCAGAUCUGAGCAGAGUCUGCAACCUACACCACUACUCACUGCAAUGCCAGAUCCCUAACCCACUGAGUGAGGCCAGGGAUCAAACCCACAACUUCAUGGUUACUAGCCAGAUUCAUUUCCACUGUGCCACAAUAGGAACUCCAAAACAGAUUCUCCCUUUAAUAGUUUCGUACCUGGAACUUCCUUCCAUAUACUUUAAUUUCCUUUUUUUUUUUUUUUUCCGGCCAUGCCCACAGCAUACACGGAAAUUCCCAAGCCAGGGAUGGAACUUGUGCCACAGCAAUGAAAAUGCUAGAUCCAUAACUUGCUGAGCCACCAGGGAACUCCCCUUCCAUAUACUUUAAAGAUGAUCAAACCCCUCUUUUAAAAGUUCACCACACACUGUCUAUAGAAAAUGCUUGCUUUAGGUCACCAUUCAUUCAACAACAUUUACAGAGCACCAACUAUGCCUGUGAGACCCUAAGCACUUUCUUUCCCCCUUGUUUUUGGAUAGUGUACCUAUAGAUACCAGGGUAAGAGAGCACAAUGGGCUAAAAGGAGACCACAUAUCUGUCUUGGUCAAGGUAACUGGACUGGCUGAUAACUGUGGCAAACAAGCCUCUGCCCUCAUGCAAACCUCUAUUGAGAAGGGAGCAAAUAAUAACUAGUAUUACUAUCAGCACCAAUAUUAUCACCAUCAUUACUGUUAUUAUUAUGCUCAUACCCCUCCCACCAUUUCUUUCUCCUUGGUUACUGCUAAGUAUAUGGCACCAUGCUAAGUAAGCACUUAUCUAAUUUAAUCCUCCCAACAGCUUAGCAAAGUACUACCCACAUUUUACAGAUGAAGAGACUGAGGUCUAACUCCUCAAAAGUAACACAGAAAGUCUUGGAGCUCAUGCUUUUAAACACUAGCCUUUACUCAUACCAUACAUAUGAAUUCCUCAUAUUUUAAUGAGAAUUUUAACAGGGGGAAAAAAUCCUUCAUAGUAAGAAAUGAGGCACAACUUAUUCUCUUUAGCAAUGUAAAUGUCUAUGUGCCUGAGUGUUUUUUCAGUGAGUUUGUUCUAAAAACUGAUAUUUGUUUGGUCCUCUAUAUAAUUUUUUUCUUUCCUGUUAUAAGAGUCUAGAAAAUAUUCUUGCUUAUUAGUAAUAUAGAAAAUAUUUUUAGGAUUUCCCCUUGUGACUCAGUGGUUAACAAAUCCGACUAGGAACCAGGAGGUUGUGGGUUCGAUCCCUGGCCUUGCUCAGUGGGUUAGGGAUCCAGCGUUGCCAUGAGUGUGGUGUAGGUUGCAGACUCGACUCAGAUCUGGUGUUGCUGUGGUGAGGGCUGGAGGCUAUAGCUCCAAUUAGACCUCUAGCCUGGGAACCUCCAAUAUGCUGCAGGUGUGGCCCCCAGAAGAGACAAUUAAUUAAUUAAUUAAUUAAAUAAGAAAAGAUUUUUAAAGGCAUAUGAGAAAGUAUAUUUCACUUCUCAUUCAAUACAACACAGUCCAUUGAGAGGAACUGGUCACCUCAGGGAAUGAAGUUUUAUUUAGCACAAACAGGAGAGGUUUUCAAUUAGUAUGUCUAUUCUUUAAUAAUUUCAUCAUUCUUCCGAGAUUAUAAAAGCAGUACAUCCUAGGUAAAAAAAAUUGAGAAAAAAGAUCACCCACAAUAUUAUUACCUAGAGAUAAUAAGCUCUUAUUAGUAUUUGGCAUACAUACUUUCUUUUAAGAUUUCUAUAUACAGAGCUUUUGUCCAUAUUAAAGAAAAUUAGGGAGCUCCCAUUGUGGCUCAGUGGGUUAUGAACCCGACUAGCAUACAUGAGGAUGCAGGUUUGAUUCCUGGCCUUGCUCAGUGGGUUAAGGAUCUGGCAUUGCUGUGAGCUGUGCUGUAGGUCGAAUAUGAGGCUCAGAUCCUGCAUUGCUGUGGCUAGUGGCGUAGGCUGGCAGCUGCAGCUCUGAUUCAACACCCUAGCCUGGGAACUUCCAUAUGCCAAAGGUGUGUCCCUGAAAAGCAAAAAAAAAAAAAAAAAAAAAAAAAAAAANAAAAUCAUACAUUAAGCAUAUUCUCAUCCCAUUCUGUUUUUCUAAAUAUCAUUCCAUAUCAAUAAAUAUUGGCCUCUACCAUCCUGUUUAAAGAUUGCACAGUAUUUCACUAUAUGGAUAGGCCCUAAUGACUUAAUCAAUCCUUUAUUAAUAGGGGUUUAGGUUACUUUCCAUGUUUUGCUGUUGCAAAAAACAGGGCAAUGAGCAAUCUGGUACAUAUGACUGUUUCUUUAAGAUAAAUUCCUAGACGAUAGCUUGUCAUUUUAUAACUCUGGAUCCAUAUUGCCCCAAGUGUCACCCAUAAAAUACAUACCAAAUUUACCUUUUUCAAAAGAAGGAAACCCUUAAAUUUAAGAGUAAUAGCAUAUUUUACAUUUCUAAUAUUUAGAUUAAGCAACCAAAAACUUUAAAAAUUCAAUUUAUCUCUAAAAAUCUAAAAUAUCAAUUCAUGCCUCUGAUAUUGCAUUAGAAUUACAUUUGGAGGGGGGGAAUUCUAAAAUACCUAAUAAACCGGUUUUGUUUUCAGCAUUUAUUAAUUUGAAAACUUAAACUCUGAAAAGAAUAUACUUGCUAUAAAACAAGCAAAUUAGUAGGGAAAACUAAAAGGCAAGGAGAGAGGCAA